This is a long non-coding RNA of Mus spicilegus (steppe mouse), 1839 nucleotides long. NCBI's taxonomy places the organism in Eukaryota, Metazoa, Chordata, Mammalia, Rodentia, Muridae. The record is from Ensembl.
GUCAGUGCCCUUACACCUGACUCCCAAAGUGCUGGGUCACAGCUGUGAAACCCCAGUUCGAGUCUGCUGUGUCCAAGCCCCAACCCCUCUCUCUCCCUGGGAAAGGCUCUCCUGUGUAUUCUUUAGAAAGGAGCUGGCUAGCACACAGGAAAGUCACUGGACACUGAGUCCAGGCUCUGUGAAGCAAAGGAGAGAUACCGUUGUCCACAAACCUGCUCCUGAGCCACACCGUGGCACAAGGGUUGGCUAGGAAGCCAUUGGAUGAUAACCAGGAAGAGUGUAAUAGAGGUCUUAAAGCAACUCUUCAGGGGCUACAGAGGACACAGCCACAUAAAGCUAACAGACAGGAGAGCCUCCAUACUCCGGUGAUCUCCUCAGGACCUUUUGUGAGGACCACAGCAGGCUCCAUACAGACUCAGAGUUUAAAGUGGGUGGAGGGUCCAACUGACUUUCAGCCUAGGGCAAAGCGGGCACAGACUCCUGUGGGUCCUGCUCUUACCAGCGUUCCAAGAUCACAUCUGAAGCUGAUGACGCGGAUCGUGUUUCCAUGGCAGAGGCGCCGUAUGUUCCAGAAGCUUCCUGAACUACAGACCACGGGGAAUGGCAGAACUUCAGGAGCUCUAGAAGAAACAAGGGUCAUCAGCCCAUGGACAGCACCUAAUUGCUCCGAUCACCAGGAUCCAUUCUGCUAUUCCGGACAACGUGAAGGAACUAGACGGUUAACCCAGAGUCACAUCACCCGGGGGGUUUCAGGACUGGAGAGGUGGCCUGCGCCCCCACCCCCCCACCCCGACUCAGGGCUGGGCUUCCCGCGCAUCCAGUCCCAGGUCUUGUCCUGAUUUCCCGGCUGAAAAUCCUCACCGUGGAAGGCUGAACCGAGCCACGAACACAUGAGGAGCCCCGGUUCCCGCCUCAGACCUGCAACUAACGACAGCUUGCUCGCGCCUAACUACAUUUCCCAGAGUUCUCAGCGGCAAGCCCGUUAGCGGGGCUCGCGACAGAAAAUUCAUUGGCUCCGAGGUGGUGGUGGCCGGUGACCAGCAAGGUGAAUACGCAGAUCUGUCGCUAACCCUCACAGCUUUCACCCUGUCCACGCGCUCGCCACCACCUGAUGCUCACUUCUGGUGUGGGAGGAGGCAGAGCAAGACAAGCCGUUGCCUGGAAAGGAACCAGAACUACAACUCCCAGAAUGCUUCGGCAUGGACAGCCUCCUGCUUCUCCGAGUAGCCCUAGUAACCGUUGUAGUUGCCACAGAGACUAUUCUCAGAUUAUUUGGGCUCUGCAAGCCAGCGAGCGAAGGAGCAGAAGCCAGAUUAGGGGAACGAUAAAGGACAAAAGACGAUAUUUGACUUAAACAAUGCUGACGAAUACAAUGCCAUUUUUUCUUCCCACGGAUGCUCAGGGCCAGAGCAAAGGGCGAACAGCCUUCUAGGAAAUGCAAAGAGAAGCUGCCACAGGAGCUAUGGGAAACGUAGUCCAUUGAUUACUAGUCACGCCUUUAAGGAGAAUUCAAACACAGUAUUUGCCUUAUAAGUACUUAAAUAGUAUUCAGAAAGUCCCUUCUUUAUAUUUACCCUCGGAGCCGUUUCAGACACUGCAUUUCCUAAGUGGAGCUUGUACCUGGCUAGCCUGUCUUCAGCCAUCUUCCUUUAAGGUUUGUUGUACACAAAAGUAGACCAAAGGAACCUGUGGCUAUUACGAUUAAUAUAUACUUCAUAAAUGUGAUGGUUUGUAUAUUCUUGGGCCAGGGAGUGGUACCAUUUGGAGGUGUGACCUGGUUGGAGUAGGUGUGCCUCUGUGGGUGUGGGUUUAAGAUUCUCACCCUAGUUGCCUAGGAGU